RNAcentral lists this long non-coding RNA (10404 nucleotides) under Capsella rubella. RNAcentral's name for it is "long non-coding RNA (CRUB_LNC003258)". Lineage: Eukaryota; Viridiplantae; Streptophyta; Magnoliopsida; Brassicales; Brassicaceae. The record is from RNAcentral.
CGCUGCGUCAUUGGUUCAAGCCUGUGGCCGAUAGGAGAAACCAUUGACAGUGAGGCCUCCGUCAACACAUAUGGACUGACCAGUAAUAUAUGAAGCUGCAGGUAGACAAAGGAAAGCCACAAGUGAUGCAACCUCUUUUGGUUCUCCAGCGCGACCAAGUGGAGUUCUACUAAACAAACUGUUCUUGUAACCUGCGUCUUCCAAAGCCUGAUUUUUUUUUACAAGAUUGUAAGACAUAGUAGUCAAAAGUGUAUAAUGUUAAUUGACCAUUAAAAAGAAAAAAAAAUGGUGUCGAGUGUCAUUAAUUACAGGUUCAGCCAUAGCAGAAUAGAUAAAAUUAGGAGCAACAGAAUUGGUUCGUAUGCCAUCUCUUGCCCAUUCACAUGCCAAAGUUUUUUUUUUUUUUUUAGUCGACAUUCACAUGCCAAAGUUUUUGCCAAUUGAUUCAUUACGAGACAUCUUAUUAGGAAUCCCAAAGAAAACAAUCAAUUCACCAUUGGAAAAUAGAUUUUAGUCAUCCACUAAGAUAAUUAAAUAUCUUUAAGUUUGUAUAAAUUGUGUAUAAAAAAAAUCUAUACACUCCCACGAAGCAAACACUACUGUAAAUUUUGGAGUGUAAAAGCCAAAGAAAAGAACUUACAGUGUAAUGUCAAACAGAGCAUAAAUUUCCUAUGAGUAGUCCAACUAAACCCACAAAAUUUCACAUCACAACUUUUGCUGCUAUCAGUCCAAUAGUGUAUAUAUAUAUAUAUAUAUAUAUAUAUAUAUAUUGACAUACAUCUAGUAUAAAUUAAAAUCUCUAUUUUGAUUAAUAGUCUACCGUCUAUGUAAUGUACCUUUCGUUAAACUAUAGAUGGAUCCACACUCCAUCGAUACAACUCCUCCAACAGAGGAAAUAAAGAUGUUGCUUCCAAACUCAGAAGCUUUAAGGAGAGGAUGUGAAAGUUGGCUAAGAUGAAAAGCAGAUUCCAAGUUCGUUGACAUGUGGAACGAGAAAUCUUCCGCCACAUAUUCUAUUGUUGGCUUCGUACGAGCUACACCAACGUUGUUCACCUAUGUUGAACAAAAAUGAGUUACAAAAAUCCUACUAAAUAGGUGUUCUUUCAUAUGAGAAUAUGCUUAGUUUCCUUAAGGUAACUUACAAGAAUGUUCAGCUUGCCAUCGAACAGCUUUGAGACAGUUUGCAUAAGUGUUUCCCUCUCGGAGUGAGAGGAUACAUCACAUAUUGAACCACUCACUUGAAACCCUUUCUUUUCCCAUUCGCUUAAACUUUGAUCGAGCAGUGUUUUAGAUAUGUCACACACAUGGAUUCUAGCUCCAAAACCAGCUAGCUCCUCUACUAUAGCAUGCCUAAAUCAUUCCAAAAAAAAAAAGAUAUAUAUAUAUAUAACAACAUCUAAAAUAAAUGCAUAAGAAUGGGUAAAAUAAUAUGAUAUAGCCAGAGAUUUGAAGGACACCCGAUUCCGAUGGCUCCACCGGUUACAAGAGCAGUCAUACCUUGAAGACUCCAUCUUUUAUCCAUGUUUUCUUUGCCUUUGAGUAGUAUCAAUGACUAGAGAUAUCACAUGUUAUAUAUAGAGAGACAAAUUAGCUAAAAUAAUACUACUAGCGUGCAGCAGCACGCAAUUAAAGAAAAAUUUUCAAUUGCGUGAAUAAAAAACUUUAGAUUAAAAGGACAUAGGUUUUUCCCAAAAAAGAAUAAAAGUAUGUAGGUAAGACAAUUGGGUAAAGCCGUAAAGAGAAUAAUCAAACAAAAUGAAAAUAAUAAAUAAAUAUUUCAAUCAUCCCAUUUUAUUCUUAAUUAAUUUGUUUUGGAAUAGAUGACUUUAAUUUAUUUUCCGUAUUAUCUUAUUUUUUUAUUGGGCUGUCGAAUUUCCAAAUUGAUGAUUUGAAUAAGAAAUCUCAAACUAUACUCACCAUUUAGUUAAUCGAUAUUUAUAUAAGAAAAUAUUAAAAUAUUGGAAAAAAUCACAUGUUAUAUAGUAGUUAAAUAAGACAUCUCAAAUUAUAGUCUCCAUUUAGUAAAUAGAUGUCUAUAUAAGAAAAUAUUAUACUACUGGGAAAAUGCACAUGUCAUAUAGUAGUUAAUUAAUAAGGAAUCUCAAACUAUAGUGUUCUAUAUAUAUAUAUAUAAUAUUAAUUUAUUGGAAAAAAUCACAUGUCUUAAAGUACAAAAAUGUUAAUGUAUUAAAUAUACAUUACAUACGUUCAACAUCCAUGUACUAUACUUAUAUUGUAAAACACAUAAUAAAUAAUAGUAUAUUUUAUUAAUCAAUGGUUCGUGUAGAAUGCUAUUGUUAAAUUAUAUGAUAAAUCAUAUAUAUCUUAACUACACAAAAAUUAUAGGUAUAAAUAGUAUUAUCUGCACCAUUUUAACAAGUAUAUUAGGGUUUUAUUGUACAAUACUAUCAUCUAAGUUACGUGAUCAUCAAUCAUACAUCUCAAGUUCUAAAAUUUUAUAGAUAUAAAUAAUAUCAUCUGUACGACACUAAUUUCGAAAAAUAUGAAUACAUAGGUUAGGUGUGUACAAAGAUUAGAAGCCAAAAUACUACUUAGGUUAGAAUAGAUGAAAUAAAGAAUAUUAUAAACUUGCUCGGAAAAGUUCAGGUUGAAUUAAAUUAAUAGCGAAAGAAUAUAUUAGUAACAUGCAUGGUCGAUAAAUUAUAAAGGAAGACUCAAAUGAUUGUCGAAAAAAAAAUGACUCAAAUGAAAGUUGACAAAGACUCAAAGAAAACAAAGACUGUAAAUAUUCGUGUACAAUAAUGCCGAAGUAGGUUACGUGUAUGGAAGAUGAUGCGACGGUAUUUUCUUUAUAAUUUCGUAUUAAUAAACAUAUUUUAUUAUAUAGUUUGGUGUUUCUUCAAAAUAUUUUUUCGUUUCUUUCUCUUUCUUGAUUUAAAUACCGUUUUGAGUGAACUAUAAAAUCUAUCUCAUUAGUCUCUCGAAGAGGCAGAACCUAUCUUUUCUUCCUGUGAAUCUAUUUGUAGCAACCACAUUCCAAUAUCUACACCACUUUUUAUAGGGGUUAAAACUUCUCAGCUAUACCUUUCCUACACGAGAGCUUUGGGUCAAUUUUACAUUCCUAGCAAAUAAGACAUGUGACGACACUGAGACUUCUUUUGCCUAAGAACCAUCGUCAUGAUAUAUUUAAUUAGAUGACAUGAUAUGUGCCUAACCUUAGCUUUCUAACAUGACAUAUGCACCUAAUUAUACUACAUGACAUGACAUGUGUCUGUAACUAUUUUUUCCUAUAAAUCUUCUUGUACUUAUUUUAUAGGGGUUGAAACUUGUCAGCUCAUACCUUUCCUACCAGGGAGUUUUGGCUCAAUUUCACAUUCCUACUCUAUCAUCAAUAAGACAUGACAACAUUAACACUAUAUGUGCCUAAUGACUUUCUUCAUGCUAUAUUUGAUACAUUUAUCUAUGUUUUCUAAAUAAACAGUUUUUAUUUUCUCAGUUUAGUUAGAAAUAUUGUUUUUGAAGUUCGAGUCGACCCAUCUUUUUUCUUCACUUGCAUAAAAUUCGAGUCGAUCCAUCUUUUUUCACUUGCACUUUUUCAAACAAACAAAAAUAUGAUAUUAUGAAAUGAUAAAUCACCUUUAUAUACCCCUCUUUGUUUUUUUUUUUUGCCACUCAUCUUCCUUAUUUGUGGGUUGGAUUGAUGCGUAAUACCGAACAAUAAAAAUGUGGUUUCGCUAUCUAGAGUUUGCAAAAUAUAUCUAACUUGAACAUGAGAUGGGAUAUUAUAAAGGUCUUAAAUUUGACCCCCCCCCCCCCAAAAAAAAAAAAACACAUUAUUGAAAGAUUGGACGUUGUCAACGUAUGGGCCGAUUACUUUGGAAAGACCCAUAAGAAGUGGAAGUGGCGUUGCGAGAACGUGUUCGGCGGGAACAAACUUUGCUACAAACAUAAGAAACAAACGAAGAAUUAUUCUUAUUUCGUUUAUUCUUACGUUCGGAGAAAACAAGGCAUGUUUAUUCUUAUUUGCUACAAACAUAAGAAACAAACGAAGAAUUAUUCAAACACUUCAUCUUGAUUGUAUAUUUCAGUCUUGGUCUUUUUAUUUGGGUUGGUCAAUGGUUAAUGUCUCAUCACACACCCUUUCGUCUUCACAGCCUUGCUGCGAUCAAUGAAGCAUGAGAGUUUUUGUUCCUUGGCGGAAACUUUAGAUCCUUCCAUCCCUCCUCUUCCUCCACUCUCUCAAAGUACUCAUCCACCGUUAAAUCCUUUAUGUCUUCCAGACGCCUUGGCUCCCACUAUAAUUUCAGCAAUAUAUACGACAUUACAUCAACAGUAUGACAUAACAGAAAAGAUAGUUAAUGAAGAUAUUUUUUUUUAACCUUGGGGUUCUUAUCUUUGUCUACCAGUACUGCUCUACAUCCCUACAUAAGCAAGACACGUUUUAAUUCCGUCAAAACAAAAGGACAAUAUGAGGAUAUAAUACAAUCGGUAAAGCCGAAAAAACCUCCACUAAGUCUUUGCUUAAAUCUCCCUUCAUCACAUGACACACCAUUCUAUACUCACGGAUAAGGCACUGUCCCACUCCUUGCAAUCUUCCUUCUCUUAUCUGAAACUUAUAUACACACAAUCAGAUUUUUGUCUCAUAUAUUGCAUGUGACAGAUUUUGGGAACUAACCGAUCUAAGAGAAAUUUUAAGGCUUGAUGGUGAUGCCUUCUUCAAUGCAGAAAUGGUUGUUGAGAUCCAAUCAUUUGGUUCCUGAGUGGGCCGAGUGGCCUCUCUCUCCUGACCAAUACAUAUAUGAUGGUACAGUGCACUGUCAAAGGUAACACUAUAUAUGAUCGUAAGUCAACAUUUCCUAUAUAUUAGUAAUCAAAAACUUACAAGUGCAGAUACAAUUUCCUCCACUGUUCUUUUCGAGAAGCACCUAUCAAUAACAUCUAACCUGCGUAACAAAAAAAAAUAACUAUUGAAGAGCUACUAUGACAUGGAUCCUAUAAAGGAAGAUUGAAAACUGAUACCAAUACUAGGUUUGAAAUUAAUAAAAAUGUAACGUACUCAUGAACAUUAAUAGAGAAAAUGUUUUUACACAUUACUUUAAAAUGCUUGUGAUGUUGGCAUGACAAAAGAUAUUCGGAAAAUUAAUAUACACUUGCCUGUGGUAAGCACUGUUCUGUUUAACGUGCGGAUGCUGAGUGUAUGCAUCAAGAAUUGUUGAGGCAAAGCUUGGAUCACUUGAACGAACUGUGCAAAGAUCUGCUUCUAGUGCAGUUAACCUCUGUGAAAAGGAGUACUCUUACUAAGUAACGAUCAUUGGCGAAGUAAAUAUAUAUAAAGUCUAAUAAUAGUCUUUCAGAGUGUCAAAGGAAAAGGAGACAAUGAGAAAUUAAAAUAGAGAACCAUAAUUUUAAAACAAGAGGCCACAGUAUAGAAUAAUUAUGCUCCUCUAUUUUAAAUUAGUUGGACAUUAAAACAGAGAAGCAUAAUAUAUACAUUUUUCUAUUAUACGUUUUAUUUUAAUAACUUGAAACACGUUGUCUCGAUGAAAUAUAAUAUUAUGUUGUAUAUAAUAUGUAAUGAAAAAAACGAAGAACAAAGAAUUUGUAUAUAAAAAAAACAUGGUUAUGUUAAACAGAGCCAUAUACUUCAUGUUGUAAAGUAAAGGCAUUCAUUCCACCAAAAGAUUAUAAAAUUUAAAAGGCCGUAUGUUUUUCCUUUUAUCAAAAUUUGCAUGUCUCAAAAAUUUACUUUCCCUGAAGCCUCUAUAGACCUUGCAUGGCAUUGCGUUAACAUUUUUAAGUAAAUACUUUAUCUUAUCUUUUUUUAUUAUUAUCAUUAUUUGGUGCCCUACUUUUAGCCUAAACAUGGCUUUUGCCGGCAAUGGGGAAUACUAAAGUCGUAAGAAGAGGAAGUUCAUACCGUUGAAGGCACAAAAUGAGUAGCAAGACCACAAGCAAGCAUUUCGGCGCCAUCUAACUUAGCUCCAGUGAGGCCAACAUACUCUCCUGAACAUGAAAACAUGCAAGGAAGGUUGAGGGAGUGAGUAGGCUUGAACUUUUUGGGACAUGCAAAAGAAAAUUAAUGACGUUUGUUACCAAAAUAUCCAGGGAGCCUUGACAAGAAAUAGGAGGCUCCUACGUCUGGAAAGAGUCCUAGAGCUGUCUCAGGCAUUGCAAAAACCUUGGAAAACCUCAAAAGAUAUGUAAGCGACAUGAGUAUAUUACAGAUCGAUAUCUAUUUUUCAUCCAUGCAUGGACAUGUUUAAGAAAAGUAUACGUACCGUGUUCUCAGUUGCAAUGCGAAAUCGACCAUGGAUGGAGACACCAGCUCCACCUCCCAUGACAAUACCAUUCAGAAUUGAAACCUAUAAUUGAAUUUCAAAACCGUAUGGAAAAAUAAACCGUACACUCUUAUGAGUCAUUAAAUUCACUAAAGGGACGGUACGUAUGCUGAGACCUGAGCUUUGCCAUACGUGGCCAGGACAUAGUUGAGCGUGUAUUGGUCUGAGAAAAAAUCGGCACCGAGUCUCCAUUUGCCUAGUCAACGUAAUAUGGAAAAAAAAAAGUGUGUAGAAACUAAAAAAUAAGUAAAAGGAAACAGAAAGAUGUUUAAUUACACUACAAAAAAAAAUGUUGUUUAACAUCAUUUAUUUUUAAUAUUUGUAAUUACGAGAGGGUUAAUAUUGAUAUAUACCUUUUACGAUGUUACUAAGAACAGGUGGAAUGUCACCACCAGCAGAAAAGGCUCUUCCCUGACCCUUAAGGAUGACAAGUUUCACUCCAGGGUCUUCCUCAUAUGCACAGAACAGUUGCAGCAACCGAGAGAUCUAGAGAAUGAUAUAUGCUGUUAAUAAGGGAAAGAUUAAUAAACACCAUGAAACAAGGGAAACGACUCAAUACCAUGUUAGAGGACAGAGCAUUCAGUGCCUUGGGUUUGUUUAAUGUCAAGAUUCUAACACUUCCUUUCUCUUCCACCAGAACCUGUGAUGCAAUAAUAUUGAUUCAGACUUCAGAGAGCGAAGAAUUUGAUCGGUCGUGUUUAAGAUCGGAUAAAACUGACCUGAGAGUGAGAGGCCAUGUCGUUGGACGUCGAUCGUUUUCUUCUUCUCUUCGUUGCUUACGGGAUUUGAGAAUGUUUCUUCUCUUCUCUUCUCUUCUUUUCUUGGACCAAAAUAUAUAUAGUUCCAUUUUUUUCCCGGUAGCUCAAUUUUAAAAUACUUAGAAAAAGAAAUUGUAAAUAGAAAAAGAUUGGUUUUCCAACACAUUGUUCACACAUCUAAACUAAAUAAAUGCAUCACUACCUACACGAAUAAUUGAAUUUGUAUGGUAACAUGUAUAUUUAUUUAUCAAUGCAACACAAUAAUAAGUUAUUAACCAUUAUCUAUUCUUUUUUUUUGGACCCGAUAUUUCAAUUAAAUGUUUUGUCAUUCGGGAUGUGAUUUUUACUGGAUCAUACAACUUCUUUCUUACUAGAUCAUCAUUUUCGUCUUUCUGUAAUGAUUUUGGUACCAAGUGUUAUGAUGUUGUGAUAAAUUUAUUUUUGUUUAUGUAGUAUAUUAAUUUUAUACAGAUAUGUUCCCAUGUGCUGCUAUAUAUAUCAUGUAAAUACCAUUCAUUAUUUAUUGUAAAUUAUAAUAUAUUGUAUUAGAAGAUGUACGAUGACCUCGCCCGCCCACGCAAAAAAUAUGUGAUUUAUUUAUUUGUUUUGAUGGUUGUAUAUUUUUUUUGUAAAAUAAAAAAUGAAAAAGGUAAAAAUAUAUGUUAACUUGGAUUGUGAAGCUAUGAUAAGAUGAGAUAUCAAACUUUUACAUUUUUGUUGUUGUUCCCGCCAUCAACGUAAGUAUUACUGCUAAAGGAUUUACGUGAGAGACAGAUAAGAAUACAGCCUUGAUACUUUGGUUUUUGUUUCCAAACUCAACCUAAACGCAUUUAUUUUCUCUUUUCUUUUUUCUUUUUCACACGAAACGCAUCCAAGUAACCAUAGAAUUUUGAGAAGGAUUACGCGAAUGAAAGUAAAGUGUCUACAAAAGAUUGUUAAUGUCUUCUCUCCAAGAAUCUGAAGUGUUCCAAAACUUGAAUGAUAUAAGUGUUGGUCAAGAUAAUGCUGUUGAUGCAAUCAUCGUUUGCUAUUACACGUUCUUUUCCUUUAUUUUCAUAAUCUCUACUUUAAAUUGAGUUGAUAACGUUUUAUUUAAAGAUAUAAUUAAGGGAUUAUAUAAAUAAAAACAAGCUUGAUAAUGGAUAAAUAUGUGAAAAUUAUGCGAACAAUUCUCAUGGCUUUUCCAUACGCCGUUAGGUCAGAGGCGUAACAUGGGAAAAUAAAGGAGCAUGUAAUCGUGCCUUGCUUGAAAAAUGCCAAGUGGGAAUUAAGCAAUAGCAAAAGAAUCAAAGAGUGAAAAAGGAAACAACUUCUAUAAACAAUAUGGUCGGAAGAAGACUUAAAUGAUGGUUAUAAAAAAAAGACUCGAAUGGAAUCUGUGUAUAACUAAGGGUUACGUUACGUGUAUGACGACGCCACUCGAUCUCAUAUUUUAUAACAAAAGUCCAGCAUAAUCCCAUAACUCUAACUGUAUUCGGCUAGUAAUAUCUUUACUGUUACUUGUAAAAUGAAAUGAUAUUUUUUUAUAAAGAAAAUACGCAACAUGAUGCUUGUACAAACUACAAAGCCAGUCAUAGUAAAUUUCAAAGAAAAUACACAAUAUAAUUAAUAGUCAUAAUAAAUUUCAAAGAAAAUACACAAUAUAGGUCAUUUUAUUUUGGUAGAAACACAAUAUAGGUCUUUGUUUUGUUACAUUUUUAUUUAACUUCAAAAAUCAAAACAACUUGUAUUCUAUUAUCUAUCGAAGUGAGAGGACGGAAAUAUUUUAUUUAACCAAAGACUUUUUGUCUUAUUAGAUUGAGACUUUGCAAAUAGCUUUUUAUAAAGAACAGAACUCAUCAAAACUAAUAUUUUAUAGCAAAUACGAGUCAAUAUUAACUAGAUUAGUUUUUCCGAUAUUUUUAAUUAAUUUUUUGCACUAUUACAAUAUUAGUCAAACAAAUUUGGGAUGGGUGGGAGAGGGCUACGUAUAAGGGCUUACGACAUGCAUAUUUCUUAUAAAAAUGAAACAUUGGCUUACGACACAUAUACAUAUUUCGUUUUUUAAAACAAUUUGGGGCAUGUCGAUUAAUAUUUAACCUAGUGCAGGACAUGACAUAAAAAGAAAGAAAAAAACAUCCUUGGCAAGAAAAAUACCAAUCAGAUUAUCAAUAUAUAUUUAUACUUUUGAAUUGUAUAAUAUAUAUUUGAAAUGAGUACACAAUUCCUUUUUGUAUUAAGUUAAUUAAGUCUGGUUAGUUGUAAUGAUAUUUGACAGGGAAAUAUACAAGAUCGAAUAUUCAAUAAUCUUAAACUGGUGAUGGUAUAUCGAAACCAAGAUUUUUAGUGAAUUCAAAACUCUAAAACUUGUUAUGCAUCACGCUGCAUGACGAUAAUUUCCAUAUUUAUAAAGAUUAAUACUUAACCGAAUAGUUAGAAUUUUAAAAUUCGUCAUUGUGGCAUGCACCGUACGUGAUGCAGCCUGACGCUGCAUGAUGACGAUAAUUUCUGUUCAUAAAGAAAAUUCCAAACUGUGGCAUAGUAGUCCAAUAGUUCCAAAGCAAAAAAAUGGCUUUCUCAUUUUUACCAUGUUUUUAUUAAUGGAGUGUGGAUUUGUACACAUGCAUAAAAACAAAAGACUUUUGUUACAAAAAAAAUAAUGAAUGUUACAAUAGUAAAGAAGACUUUUGUUAAAUAAAAGAAUGACUUUUGUAGAGCUUUGACAAGAAGUAGGAGGCGCCUAUGUCUCAUGUAUGUAAACAUGCUUGGAGUAACUCAAAAGAGACGUACAAAACGAUAUGAGCAUAUUUGAGAGUGAUCAAUUAGUCAUCCAUGGUUGCAGUACGAAAGCGACCAUGGUUGGAGACACCAUCAACUAAUAUUCAUCCAUCUAAUAAUAAUACCCAAGCAACAUGAAAAACGAGGAACCAACUUGGCUAUGAUAGUUACCAACUAAUUGAAGUUCGCAAAGAAAUAUGUUAAACUGAAGUUUCCUCUUUAUGGUUUUUAUUAACGAUAAACAAACAAAGGAACGACUAAACAUCGAAGCAAAACCAAAGUAGGAAUCUACUUAUGGAUAAUACAAACACACACACACACACACACACACACACAAGACCCAUAAAGGAAAUAGACUUAGACUUGUACGCUGCAUCACCACCAAUGCACCCAAGACUAAAGGCUCAAGGCUGUGGCUUAUAGGAGAAACCGUUGACAGUGAGACCUCCAUCAACACAAAUGGUCUGUCCAGUUAUAUAUGAAGCUGCAGGUAGACACAGAAAAGCCACAAGUGAUGAAACUUCUUUAGGCUCUCCAACGCGACCAAGUGGAGUUCUACUGACCAAACUCUUCUUGUAAGCGGUGUCUUC